This is a long non-coding RNA of Chinchilla lanigera (long-tailed chinchilla), 972 nucleotides long. NCBI's taxonomy places the organism in Eukaryota, Metazoa, Chordata, Mammalia, Rodentia, Chinchillidae. The record is from Ensembl.
CUCAUAAUCCCACUAGAUGCAGCUCCAGCGCUGUGAAAGACAACCCCAGCUUCCGUGAGAUUUCCGACCACCUGGAUUGCAGAUGCAUUAGCCUUCAUCGCUUACCCCUCGGUGAACAUUAACUAACCCACACAAAAGGAGCCACUGGCCAGAAAACUGCUCCCGUUUCUAAGCCUCAGGGAAGUCCUCUGAAGAAACCUGCACCCUGAAGGUGUAAGAGAUAGGUGAACUGAAGGGAGGGUGUCCAACACUGUUUACACGCAGAAGCAGGACGCACUGACGUCUGCGUAGCUGGUGGAGGUGGUCGGUGGCGUGUGGGAUUUUAACCUCACCAUGGCUUAUGUAGCAGGCCCGUGGCCUACAGAAGACAUCUGUACCAGAGGUUACGCUUGAGGCAGUGCACAUUGCAGUGUCACUCGUGUGGAGACAGAAUGUCCUUCUGUGAUUGGAGGUCUUUGUUCUGAAGAUUUCCAGCCGCUCCAUGAAGCGAAUGCCAUGGUGAUCUAUAGAAGACGUGCCCAGCGUGUGAUCAAACAUACAGUGAAUGCUGCUGCUGAACGCCAUCCAACAGAAAGGCGGGCUCAAGAAAACGGCAGCGCUUCCUCAGCCACCUCAUUCAAUGCUCUGGCAUCGGGCGACUUCUGGCUCCUUCCCAAAGAUAAACUGACCAUGAAAGGGCAACACCCUGAAUUGAUUCAGGACAUCAAGGCAGCCAGGACAGCACACACAAGACACUCAGGAAGGAGAACUUGCAGAGCAGCUGCAGACAGUGGGAAGGAGGAUGAUUGUGCUAGACACUGGAGAUGAAAGGCUGGCCACGCCUAGCUCCUGCUGUUGAGAAACUUCCAAGUCAUCGGUGGAAGGCCUACCAGAAAGAUAGACAAUUUUAAUCCAGCAGCAAUGCCACGGAAAAGCACAUGCAGGAGAGAGACUGGAGGUCAGGUGAAGUCACCCCUUCUAGGGGCCUUGGCA